Molecule: small RNA, 123 nt
Organism: Rhizobium sp.
Lineage: Bacteria; Pseudomonadati; Pseudomonadota; Alphaproteobacteria; Hyphomicrobiales; Rhizobiaceae
Rfam family: Alphaproteobacterial ar14
About the family: Smr14C2 was renamed NfeR1 (Nodule Formation Efficiency RNA) highly expressed in salt stress and during the symbiotic interaction on legume roots.
Source: Rfam
AACCAUCGAAGCGACGCACUCCUCCUCCCAGCGUCGUUAGAUGAGAUCGGCAAUCUCCUCCUCCUCCCAAUUGCCGAUCAUGUUUAAAGCCCGACGCACCUCCUCCCGCGUCGGGCUUUUUCG